Molecule: ribosomal RNA, 1403 nt
Filed under: uncultured bacterium
Lineage: Bacteria
Description: bacterial SSU rRNA
Rfam family: Bacterial small subunit ribosomal RNA
Source: RNAcentral
GAAUUCGCCCUUAGAGUUCCCUUCUGGCUCAGGACGAACGCUGGCGGCGUGCCUAACACAUGCAAGUCGAGCGGGGAUUGCUCAAUGAAGUUUUCGGAUGGAUUUGAGUAAUUCUAGCGGCGGACGGGUGAGUAACGCGUGAGCAACCUGCCUAUCACAGGGGAAUAACGCAUCGAAAGGUGUGCUAAUACCGCAUGAGACCACAGGAUCGCAUGGUCAAGGGGUCAAAGAUUUAUCGGUGAUAGAUGGGCUCGCGUCUGAUUAGCUAGUUGGUGAGGUAACGGCCCACCAAGGCGACGAUCAGUAGCCGACCUGAGAGGGUGAUCGGCCACAUUGGAACUGAGAGACGGUCCAAACUCCUACGGGAGGCAGCAGUGGGGAAUAUUGGGCAAUGGGCGAAAGCCUGACCCAGCAACGCCGCGUGAGUGAAGAAGGCCUUCAGGUUGUAAAGCUCUGUUAUAGGUGACGAAGGAAGUGACGGUAGCCUAUAAGGAAGCCCCGGCUAACUACGUGCCAGCAGCCGCGGUAAUACGUAGGGGGCGAGCGUUGUCCGGAAUGACUGGGCGUAAAGGGCGUGUAGGCGGUCUUUUAAGUCUGGAGUGAAAGUCCUGCUUUCAAGGUGGGAAUUGCUUUGGAUACUGGAGGACUUGAGUGCAGAAGAGGUAAGCGGAAUUCCCAGUGUAGCGGUGAAAUGCGUAGAGAUUGGGAGGAACACCAGUGGCGAAGGCGGCUUACUGGGCUGUAACUGACGCUGAGGCGCGAAAGCGUGGGGAGCGAACAGGAUUAGAUACCCUGGUAGUCCACGCGGUAAACGAUGAAUGCUAGGUGUUGCGGGUAUCGACCCCUGCAGUGCCGGAGUAAACGCAAUAAGCAUUCCGCCUGGGGAGUACGGCCGCAAGGUUGAAACUCAAAGGAAUUGACGGGGGCCCGCACAAGCAGCGGAGCAUGUUGUUUAAUUCGAAGCAACGCGAAGAACCUUACCAGGUCUUGACAUCCAAUUAAACUCACAGAGAAGUGAGGUCUCUUCGGAGGAAUUGAGACAGGUGGUGCAUGGUUGUCGUCAGCUCGUGUCGUGAGAUGUUGGGUUAAGUCCCGCAACGAGCGCAACCCCUAUUCUUAGUAGCCAUCAUUCAGUUGGGCACUCUAGGGAGACUGCCGUGGACAACUCGGAGGAAGGUGGGGACGACGUCAAAUCAUCAUGCCCCUUAUGUCUUGGGCUACAAACGUGCUACAAUGGUGACUACAAAGAGGAGCGAGACCGUAAGGUGGAGCGGAUCUCAAAAAAGUCAUCCCAGUUCGGAUUGUGGGCUGCAACCCGCCCACAUGAAGUUGGAGUUGCUAGUAAUCGCGGAUCAGCAUGCCGCGGUGAAUACAAAGCCGGGCCUUGCACACACCGCCCGUCA